Non-coding RNA from Pelobates cultripes (western spadefoot toad), 304 nucleotides. The record is from the annotation of a GenBank genome assembly. NCBI's taxonomy places the organism in Eukaryota, Metazoa, Chordata, Amphibia, Anura, Pelobatidae.
CUCUGCAGACUCUUCCAACUGACCUAAAAAUGCUGCGGGAACAACAGGCUACAGUUGCCCCUGAAGAAAUACAGAAGUGGAAACAGAAAGGGGCAGUUCUGAAGGAUGGAGUGUACUCCAACAACCUCAAGUUCUGCCUCCCUAAGAAUUUGUACCCAGCAGUUGUACAAUGUGCACACGGACCUGCACAUUUAUCAAAGGAUCUAAUGAAUGCUCUUGUACAAAAAUACUACCUCAUUGUCCCUAUAUGAGAUUCUAUUUGGGACUGCACCUAGGCUAGGUUGCUAUUUUCCUCAACAACUAC